This is a small nucleolar RNA of Otolemur garnettii (small-eared galago), 130 nucleotides long. Its record names the gene SNORA70. It matches the Rfam family "Small nucleolar RNA SNORA70". Rfam says of the family: snoRNA U70 seems to be exclusive to mammals and is a member of the H/ACA class of snoRNA which contain H (ANANNA) and ACA box motifs. H/ACA box snoRNAs are involved in the conversion of uridines to pseudouridines (5-ribosyluracil) a constituent of structural RNAs (transfer, ribosomal, small nuclear, and small nucleolar). Lineage: Eukaryota; Metazoa; Chordata; Mammalia; Primates; Galagidae. The record is from Ensembl.
CUGCAGCUAAUUAAGCCAACCAUGCUCUUUUCCUCGUGGGGACCUGGUGUGCAGUGGCUCCAAAGCCUCCUUGGUAGUGUAUGCAGCCUGUUGCUCAUAUAGGUUGCUCUAAGGGACCUUGGAGACAUUC